Molecule: non-coding RNA, 2352 nt
Organism: Ciona intestinalis (vase tunicate)
Lineage: Eukaryota; Metazoa; Chordata; Ascidiacea; Phlebobranchia; Cionidae
Source: RefSeq, a predicted model, not a curated record
UAAGAUUACACUUUCAAUGACCUCCUAAUAUGUUAAUAAUAAUUGAUUUUUCUGUAAAAGGUUUAGUAGGUCAUAUUCAUAAAAUGUUUUUAUUAAAAAAAAAAAAUUUUUUGGUAAAUAAGAAAAUGAGGUUAAUUAAGCCUUUGUUAUUUGUUCAUUGGGAAAGAGCUUUGGCAAAAACAAUUCAGUUUCCGAUUACAACCAAAAUUCAAAAAUCGCUAUUCAGUCAGUACUUGGAGAAAAAGAAAGAUGAAAAAGAAGUGCCUCUACCUGGAAAAUGUAACUUGCCUGCUGUUAGUAUACCAGAAACUUUUAAUGAAUCUGCCAAAGCAUUUCUAAAAAUGCAGAAUAAAUCUGUAAAUGAAGUUGCGAUUAAUCUUUUAAACUACUUGUCUUCUAGAAGGACGCAAAUUAAAAGGUCAGAGAAAAAGAAAAAUUUUAAAAGUCCUUCGGGAAAUAAAUUUACAAGUUUACAAGAAAAACUGGAAGUUAUAGAAAUGUUGGAAAACCAGGAAGAUUUUCAAAUAAAAGGUUUAAAAACACAAGAACUGCAGGAUAUCGUGUGGAAGCGUGUGUUAUAUAAUCAUGAAAAUACUGCAGCUUUUUUAUUGGCAAGAAGUGCUGGUUGUUAUGCUUCUGCAUUUCGAGUGUUAAGUAAUUUAAAAAAUGAUGUUGAAGAUUUUAAUCCCAAAAGCAUUUUAGAUGUGGGUUCAGGAACAGGAACAAAUAUGUGGGCAGCAAAUAGUCUUUGGAAAGAUUCCUUGAAGCAGUAUGUGUGCGUAGAUGUGUCAGAUCAAAUGAACAAACUUUCGCAUUAUAUUGUAACAGCUGGAGAUUUAAACGCCCCCCCACCAAGCGGCGUUUUUAUACGUAGGUUUCUGCCGGUUUCUUUUAAAUCUGUUUAUGACAUUGUAAUUGCUUCAUAUACACUGUCAGAAUUGCCUACUUCAAAAGAAAGACUAACUCUGCUCAAACUUUUGUGGGAGAAAACAUCACAAUAUUUAGUUCUAAUUGAGUAUGGUAACUUCAAUGGUUUUCAAAUUAUUAUGGAAGCCAGGAAUCUUCUGUUAAGGGGUAUGGAAGGUAAUAACGAUGAUAAACCAUGGAAAUCUUGGCAGAAAGAUGCUUCUGUAGUAAUACCAUGCCCACAUAGUAAACCGUGUCCAGUUUGGGCUAAAAAAGAUACAUGUACAUUCAGUCAAACUUAUAAUGUUCCUGGUUUUGCAAAAGCGCUGAACAAAAAACAAACUAUCAAGGAACAGUUUACUUUUGUUGUGUUUGAGAAAAACUCUAACAGUAAUAUGAACAAGUUGCCACGAAUUAUACGUGGUCCUUUUACCCAGAAAACAUGCGUAAACUGCUUCGUUUGUAACAAAGAUGGAGCAUUGGAAAAUAUUCAAAUUCAUAAAAAUGUUCACGGAGCUGGUUUGAAAACUAUCGUAAAAAAGUGCAAGCAAGGAGACUAUUUUCCCCUUGAAAAUUUGGACCAAGUAAUAAAUUAAACUAGCAACAGUUAAAUUUUUCCACCCAAGGUACAAGGUUAACCAAUUCAGUGCAAAAUUUUUGUAAUUAGAACUGAUAUUUUCUAGGAAGAAAUAUUAAAAUACUUUCCACCAAUUUCUGCUAGUGGUUCAAUUUUUCUUUGUUUAACAUAAUAUUUUUGUAACAGAACUUAGGAUUCAGUUCAAAAGACUAUAAUACAGUGUAUUACAGGUAUUAUGGUAUUGUGUUAAUUGAUAAGCUGCUCGUAGAAUGGGAAAAAACGUACAGGUUAAUAUCAAGUUUUUUGCAAAGAGUCGAGAAUUAGUUGGAAUUGAAUCAGAACAACUUAUUUUACCACAAGACAUUACUUCAUUUCAAUUGAUUGAAACUAUUAAUUCAAAAUAUCCAAGGUUAUCUGAUCUUCAAGGGUGUUUUACGCUCGCUGUCAACGGAGAAUAUAUCAAAACUGACGAAUCGUAUUCCAUUUUAUUGACUGAUCAAAGCGAGAUUGCAGUUAUACCGCCGCUCAGUGGUGGUUAAUUUCCUCAAUAAUGAACGACAUCGUUUUCACCAACGAUGCGCUUAAUGUUCAGGCUGCUGUUGAUAAAGUUUCAUCUGAAACUUGUGGGGCUGUUUCCAUAUUUUUAGAUUAUGAAUGUUAUGGACAAAUGGCUCACAAAGAACUGGAAAAAAUUUGCGAACGCUUGAGAGAAAAAUGGCCCGACAUUCUACAUAUAUUAAUCCAUCACCGAUUAGGGUCAGUGCCUGUAAAAGAGUCCAGCGUUCUCAUUGCAAUAUCAUCACCUCAUAGGGUAGAUGCAAUGGCAGCCACUCAGUAUUGCAUUGAUAACCUCAAGGCAAAAGUCCCAA